GAUGAACGCUGGCGGCGUGCCUAAUACAUGCAAGUCGAGCGAACAGACGAGGAGCUUGCUCCUCUGACGUUAGCGGCGGACGGGUGAGUAACACGUGGAUAACCUACCUAUAAGACUGGGAUAACUUCGGGAAACCGGAGCUAAUACCGGAUAAUAUAUUGAACCGCAUGGUUCAAUAGUGAAAGACGGUUUUGCUGUCGCUUAUAGAUGGAUCCGCGCCGCAUUAGCUAGUUGGUAAGGUAACGGCUACCAAGGCAACGAUGCGUAGCCGACCUGAGAGGGUGAUCGGCCACACUGGAACUGAGACACGGUCCAGACUCCUACGGGAGGCAGCAGUAGGGAAUCUUCCGCAAUGGGCGAAAGCCUGACGGAGCAACGCCGCGUGAGUGAUGAAGGUCUUCGGAUCGUAAAACUCUGUUAUUAGGGAAGAACAAAUGUGUAAGUAACUAUGCACGUCUUGACGGUACCUAAUCAGAAAGCCACGGCUAACUACGUG
Molecule: ribosomal RNA, 496 nt
Filed under: uncultured bacterium
Lineage: Bacteria
Description: partial 16S ribosomal RNA
Rfam family: Bacterial small subunit ribosomal RNA
Source: RNAcentral